Molecule: non-coding RNA, 602 nt
Organism: Anolis sagrei ordinatus
Lineage: Eukaryota; Metazoa; Chordata; Lepidosauria; Squamata; Anolidae
Source: RefSeq, a predicted model, not a curated record
UGCCAGUGUGAUGCAUCUACUCUUCACUAUGUUAUGGAGAUGGGUCCUUGCUCUCCUUCCAAGAAGGAAACAUCUCCUGAUUUCCUGGCCACGCUCAUCUUUGUGCCUAGAAAUACAAACCCUGUCACCGUCUCCACGUUUUCUCCACGUGCCAGUUGUGUGGCUCCAUCCCAUGUCCCAGGAUCCCCUUCGCAGCCCUGACUCUGCUCUCCUCCGUUGCUUUCCUUGCAGAGAAAACCAAGAAGGGCGUCCAGAUCCCGCUUCCGGAAGGGAUGGACUUCAUGAAGGAAGUGGUCACCAACCACAUGGGCUACCUCACCAUCGGCGCCGACCUCCAUUUCUCCAAAGGGCUGCGAGAGGUCAUUGAGAAGUACCGGACGCCCGCCUCCAUGGCCGCUUAAGGGCAGCCUCGGCCACACUUCCUUCCUCUCUUCCUCCCUUCCUUCCUUCUUUUCACCAGCACUUCCUCAGCUCAAAGGACCGAACCCACCCAGGGACCCCUCCUCACUCGAUUCGGGACCAAAAGCAGGCACGGCAAGGACGGCACGGCAAUGCCCGCAGCCCUGCCUCGGACCAAAACCAAUAAAGAAGUUUAGAUUUGA